CAGCAGCCGCGGUAACACGGAGGGAGCUAGCGUUGUUCGGAAUUACUGGGCGUAAAGCGCGCGUAGGCGGUUACUCAAGUCAGAGGUGAAAGCCCGGGGCUCAACCCCGGAACUGCCUUUGAAACUAGGUGACUAGAAUCUUGGAGAGGUCAGUGGAAUUCCGAGUGUAGAGGUGAAAUUCGUAGAUAUUCGGAAGAACACCAGCGGCGAAGGCGACUGACUGGACAAGUAUUGACGCUGAGGUGCGAAAGCGUGGGGAGCAAACAGGAUUAGAUACCCGCGUAGUCCCUGUCUCUUAUAC
This 301-nucleotide ribosomal RNA is filed under the name uncultured bacterium. RNAcentral describes it as "partial 16S ribosomal RNA". It matches the Rfam family "Bacterial small subunit ribosomal RNA", at positions 509 to 807 of the family's 1533-position model. The record is from RNAcentral.